AGCAGCCGCGGUAAUUCCAGCUCCAAUAGCGUAUAUUAAAGUUGUUGCAGUUAAAAAGCUCGUAGUUGAAUUUCGGGAUCAAUAUGUUGGUCGUGCCUCGGUACGUACUAGCAUAUUGGUUUCUCCUUUCUGAAGAACCAUGAUGUCAUUUAUUUGGUGUCGUGGGGAAUCAGGACUGUUACUUUGAAAAAAUUAGAGUGUUUAAAGCAGGCUCACGCUUGAAUACAUUAGCAUGGAAUAAUGAAAUAGGACGUUUGAUUCUAUUUUGUUGGUUUCUAGGAUCGACGUAAUGAUUAAUAGGGAUAGUUGGGGGCAUUAGUAUUCAAUUGUCAGAGGUGAAAUUCUUGGAUUUAUUGAAGACUAACUACUGCGAAAGCAUUUGCCAAGGAUGUUUUCAUUAAUCAAGAACGAAAGUUAGGGGAUCGAAGACGAUCAGAUACCGUCGUAGUCUUAACCAUAAACUAUGCC
Molecule: ribosomal RNA, 468 nt
Filed under: uncultured Glomus
Lineage: Eukaryota; Fungi; Glomeromycota; Glomeromycetes; Glomerales; Glomeraceae
Description: SSU rRNA
Rfam family: Eukaryotic small subunit ribosomal RNA
Source: RNAcentral